CGUCUGACAUACGUUGCACCAAAUGAUACUGCUCCAACCACCCUCCAAAGACGUGAUGCAGGCAGUGGGCAUCAUGGACUCCUUUAUUUAAGAGGUAAGCUACCAAGAAAGUGAGGGAAGUCCAUCCACGAAAGCCAGUGACAAAGCUGUUUAUGUCCAGGAAGACUCUGAAGCCACAACCUGUCCUGGAAACACCUUUCAAUCCCAGAAAAUUCAGAGUACCAGAAGCAUCUCACAGAGGCUGAAACAAAAUAAAUGUUCAAAAGGCACAUGUUGAAUUAUUGAGAAAACAAGGACCUAAACAGAAAAUGAUAAUAUUCUGUGGAGAGGUGAUGAUGCCAAUAUGAGAAGAUGAAG
Long non-coding RNA from Bos indicus x Bos taurus (hybrid cattle), 357 nucleotides. NCBI's taxonomy places the organism in Eukaryota, Metazoa, Chordata, Mammalia, Artiodactyla, Bovidae. The record is from Ensembl.